RNAcentral lists this ribosomal RNA (489 nucleotides) under uncultured bacterium. RNAcentral describes it as "bacterial SSU rRNA". It matches the Rfam family "Bacterial small subunit ribosomal RNA", at positions 30 to 511 of the family's 1533-position model. The record is from RNAcentral.
AUUGAACGCUGGCGGCAGGCUUAACACAUGCAAGUCGAGCGGGCGAGGUUGCUUCGGUAACUGAGCUAGCGGCGGACGGGUGAGUAAUGCUUAGGAAUCUGCCUAUUAGUGGGGGACAACAUUCCGAAAGGAAUGCUAAUACCGCAUACGCCCUACGGGGGAAAGCAGGGGAUCUUCGGACCUUGCGCUAAUAGAUGAGCCUAAGUCAGAUUAGCUAGUUGGUGGGGUAAAGGCCUACCAAGGCGACGAUCUGUAGCGGGUCUGAGAGGAUGAUCCGCCACACUGGGACUGAGACACGGCCCAGACUCCUACGGGAGGCAGCAGUGGGGAAUAUUGGACAAUGGGCGCAAGCCUGAUCCAGCCAUGCCGCGUGUGUGAAGAAGGCCUUUUGGUUGUAAAGCACUUUAAGCGAGGAGGAGGCUACUUGGAUUAAUACUCUAGGAUAGUGGACGUUACUCGCAGAAUAAGCACCGGCUAACUCUGUGCCAG